GCAAGUCGAGGGGAAACGAUAUUGGAAGCUUGCUUCCGAUAGGCGUCGACCGGCGCACGGGUGAGUAACGCGUGUCCAAUCUGCCCAACACUUGGGGAUAACCUUGCGAAAGUAAGACUAAUACUCAAUGAUGUCUCUAGAAGACAUCUGAAAGAGAUUAAAGAUUUAUCGGUGAUGGAUGGGGAUGCGUCUGAUUAGCUUGUUGGCGGGGUAACGGCCCACCAAGGCAACGAUCAGUAGGGGUUCUGAGAGGAAGAUC
RNAcentral lists this ribosomal RNA (259 nucleotides) under uncultured bacterium. RNAcentral's name for it is "partial 16S ribosomal RNA". It matches the Rfam family "Bacterial small subunit ribosomal RNA", at positions 57 to 305 of the family's 1533-position model. The record is from RNAcentral.